UUGGCCUAGGGGCGCAGCAGUAGGGAAUCUUCGUCAAUGGGCGCAAGCCUGAACGAGCAAUGCCGCGUGAACGAGGAAGGUCUUCGGAUCGUAAAGUUCUGUUGAAGGGGAAAAAGAGCGGAGAGAGGAAAUGAACUCCGAUUGAUAUUACCCUUCGAGGAAGUCACGGCUAACUACGUGCCAGCAGCCGCGGUAAUACGUAGGUGGCGAGCGUUAUCCGGAAUGAUUGGGCGUAAAGGGUGCGUAGGCGGCCUGCUAAGUCUGGAGUGAAAGGUACCGGCUCAACCGGUACAGGCUCUGGCAAC
RNAcentral lists this ribosomal RNA (305 nucleotides) under uncultured bacterium. RNAcentral describes it as "bacterial SSU rRNA". It matches the Rfam family "Bacterial small subunit ribosomal RNA", at positions 334 to 633 of the family's 1533-position model. The record is from RNAcentral.